AUCUUUCCUAUCAAGACUUUCAAACAACACUCAGCUCCCCAUGGUUGUUUAUCUAGGGCACUACUAUUUUGAUAAUAAACCUCUGAUUGGAAAGAUAGCAGAUGUUCAUGUAUGGGAUAAGAAACUAAGUGAAGAAGAACUAGCAUACUAUUCGGACUGUAUUCCACAGCAAACAGUAGGGGA
Molecule: long non-coding RNA, 183 nt
Organism: Eurytemora carolleeae
Lineage: Eukaryota; Metazoa; Arthropoda; Copepoda; Calanoida; Temoridae
Exons: 3
Source: RefSeq, a predicted model, not a curated record